AUGGCUGAUGGACCUGCGAGCCCGGCGUCGGUGUCCUCCAGGCCCCAGCCUAUCGUCUCCGGGCUUGGGCUGUCGGGCUCGUCUGGAUCUGAGGGAGGUUCGAACGGUGCUGGAGGUGCACCGGCUGGCGCCAACCCUGGGCCGGCUGCCGGAUCUGCCGUUCCAUGGCGCAAGCCGGGACCUUCGCGCAAGGCUCUAUGGCGCAAGAGGAAGGCUUUCCAGAAGAUGGCGGCGGCGGGAGGAUCCAGGUCGCGCUCACCAGCCGCGUCGCCGGAGAGGAGGGAGAUCCCGGCUGACUUGUUCGGCCUUUGCUUCAAGUGCUUUCGGGAGGGACACAGGAGAGAUGACUGCGAAUUUCCCCCGCUCCGCAUCCGGUGCGCCCUGGAGGGCCACAUCUCCACGGAGUGCAAGCGACCGAGGAGUCCAAGGUCGGAGGAAGAACUCCGGUGA
This 450-nucleotide ribosomal RNA is filed under the name Triticum aestivum (bread wheat). Its description in RNAcentral is "partial small subunit ribosomal RNA". Lineage: Eukaryota; Viridiplantae; Streptophyta; Magnoliopsida; Poales; Poaceae. The record is from RNAcentral.